RNAcentral lists this ribosomal RNA (288 nucleotides) under uncultured bacterium. RNAcentral's name for it is "partial 16S ribosomal RNA". It matches the Rfam family "Bacterial small subunit ribosomal RNA", at positions 334 to 637 of the family's 1533-position model. The record is from RNAcentral.
AUGUCCUACGGGAGGCAGCAGUGGGGAAUAUUGGGCAAUGGGCGCAAGCCUGACCCAGCGACGCCGCGUGAGGGAAGACGGUCUUCGGAUUGUAAACCUCUUUCAGCAGGGAAGACAAAAGGACGGUACCUGCAGAAGAAGCCACGGCUAACUACGUGCCAGCAGCCGCGGUAAUAAGUAGGUGGCAAGCGUUAUCCGGAAUUACUGGGUGUAAAGGGUGUGUAGGCGGGGCUGCAAGUCAGAUGGGAGAAUUAUGGGCUCAACCCAUAAACUGCGUCCGAAACUGUA